RNAcentral lists this ribosomal RNA (253 nucleotides) under uncultured bacterium. Its description in RNAcentral is "partial 16S ribosomal RNA". It matches the Rfam family "Bacterial small subunit ribosomal RNA", at positions 524 to 776 of the family's 1533-position model. The record is from RNAcentral.
UACGUAGGGUGCGAGCGUUAAUCGGAAUUACUGGGCGUAAAGCGUGCGCAGGCGGUUCUGCAAGUCAGAGGUGAAAUCCCCGGGCUUAACCUGGGAACUGCGUUUGAAACUACGGAGCUAGAGUGCGGCAGAGGGGGGUGGAAUUCCACGUGUAGCAGUGAAAUGCGUAGAUAUGUGGAGGAACACCGAUGGCGAAGGCAGCCCCCUGGGCCGACACUGACGCUCAGGCACGAAAGCGUGGGGAGCAAACAGG